AGCAGCCGCGGUAAUUCCAGCUCCAAUAGCGUAUAUUAAAGUUGCUGCAGUUAAAAAAGCUCGUAGUUGAAUUUCGGGAUCAAUAUGUUGGUCGUGCCUUGGUACGUACUAGCUCAUUGGUUUCUCCCUUCUGACGAACCAUGAUGUCAUUAAUUUGAUGUCAUGGGGAAUCAGGACUGUUACUUUGAAAAAAUUAGAGUGUUUAAAGCAGGCUCGCGCUUGAAUACAUUAGCAUGGAAUAAUGAAAUAGGACAUUUGAUUCUAUUUUGUUGGUUUCUAGGAUCGAUGUAAUGAUUAAUAGGGAUAGUUGGGGGCAUUAGUAUUCAAUUGUCAGAGGUGAAAUUCUUGGAUUUAUUGAAGACUAACUACUGCGAAGGCAUUUGCCAAGGAUGUUUUCAUUAA
Molecule: ribosomal RNA, 402 nt
Filed under: uncultured Glomus
Lineage: Eukaryota; Fungi; Glomeromycota; Glomeromycetes; Glomerales; Glomeraceae
Description: SSU rRNA
Rfam family: Eukaryotic small subunit ribosomal RNA
Source: RNAcentral